AUGUGGAAGCGAGUUUGGAAACUUUUCUGCAGCCAAAAUCUGUGCGGUGAAAAAAAUAACUAUCAAUAGUAAAACUAAAUCUUUUAACUUGAAAUAAAUCUUUUACGGAUUUUGACAGACGACAUAUAUAAACUGCAUUAAGGUGUUCACUAUGCAACAAUUGGAGCACCAUGGCAUUGGCAUCAGGGCAACCGUUGACACGCAAAUUCUGCAAUUUUUCAGCCUUGAUGUUGAAGUUGUUAACAUUGCGACAACCAUAAAGUAUCAAAUUCUUAAGUUGUGUUCCACCUAAAUUAACCCCGAAAUCAACAUGCAUUAAUUUAAUAUCUUGAAGAUUGGGAAAUCCCUUAAACGCAGGUGGUGGCUUGAAAAUACAGGUAAACAAGUUCAGCUUUGUCAAUUGUAGACAAGAGAAUACGGAGGAUGGAAUAUGAUAAACCCGAUUGGAGUUCACAAUGUGGAGUUCCCUAACAUUAUUCCUUGAUAGGAUUAACAUCCAUUGAUCAACUUCUUUGAGACUAUCAAGAAAUAUCUCUUUUGGUAUAUGGAGAACAAAUUUGAAAAUGGGACCACUGUGAAGGAUCAUAAUCUGGUUUAAAACCCUAAUAAACCCAUUACAACUGAAGGCUCCAGUUUUUAAAAACUGUUGAGAGAAUUGCUUAUAGAGAAACAGUGUCUUCAUAGUGGUCCAUCUGUAUCUCCACUUUCUAGAUAAAACACUUGUCCUUACAGCAUCUUUAACUGGGAGCCGCUCUAAAAUCGGGUCUAGCAAAUCCUCAGGCAAGUUACUGAUUAUGUCCUUGUCAGCAGAGGAGCUUACAAACCUCCUCCUUGUAUGACGAUUAUCUAUCAUUACAUUCAACAAAACCAUGACUUCAAAAGUAAACAGAGUUUAU
RNAcentral lists this long non-coding RNA (896 nucleotides) under Helianthus annuus (common sunflower). Lineage: Eukaryota; Viridiplantae; Streptophyta; Magnoliopsida; Asterales; Asteraceae. The record is from RNAcentral.